This 421-nucleotide ribosomal RNA is filed under the name uncultured bacterium. Its description in RNAcentral is "bacterial SSU rRNA". It matches the Rfam family "Bacterial small subunit ribosomal RNA", at positions 355 to 773 of the family's 1533-position model. The record is from RNAcentral.
UAAGGAAUAUUGGUCAAUGGGCGGAAGCCUGAACCAGCCAUGCCGCGUGCAGGAAGACGGCCCUACGGGUUGUAAACUGCUUUUAUACGGGAAUAAACCCCGGUUCGUGAACCGGGCUGAAUGUACUGUAAGAAUAAGGAUCGUCUAACUCCGUGCCAGCAGCCGCGGUAAUGCGGAGGAUCCAAGCGUUAUCCGGAUUUAUUGGGUUUAAAGGGUGCGUAGGCGGCUUUUUAAGUCAGGGGUGAAAGACGGUAGCUUAACUAUCGCAGUGCCCUUGAUACUGAAGAGCUUGAAUAUACUUGAGGUAGGCGGAAUGUGACAAGUAGCGGUGAAAUGCAUAGAUAUGUCACAGAACACCAAUUGCGAAGGCAGCUUACUAAGGUAUGAUUGACGCUGAGGCACGAAAGCGUGGGGAUCAAAC